UGUACUAAGGUAGCACGGUGAGUAGCCCUUUAAUUGAGGGAUUGUAUGAAUGGUUGGACACGGAGAGACUGUUUCCAAUAUAAUAAGUAGAAGUUUCUUUUCAAGUGAAAAAGCUUGAGUUUUUGUAAAAGACGAGAAGACCCUGUCGAACUUGAUUAAAACCUAGUAUAUUUAAUUUUUUACCUUAUUUUUUUUGUUUUGUUAAAUUAGUUUUGUUGUUAUGGCUCAUGUCUUAGUUAAGAAGUGUUAUUGCAAUAAAGAUUUUAUUAAUUUUUGAAAUUGGGUGUGGAAAAUUUAUUUUAGUUUUGAAUUUUUGUUGGGGCAACAGAAGUCUAUUAAACGAUAUCUUGUUGGAUAAAGACCCUGUAUGAUGGUUUAAAAGCAAAAGUUACCGCAGGGAUAACAGCGUAAUUUUUUUCUGUAAUUGUAUCGAGAAAAGAGUUUGCGACCUCGUUUUUGGUAUUAUA
Molecule: ribosomal RNA, 467 nt
Filed under: Meretrix petechialis
Lineage: Eukaryota; Metazoa; Mollusca; Bivalvia; Venerida; Veneridae
Description: partial 16S ribosomal RNA
Source: RNAcentral